This 468-nucleotide ribosomal RNA is filed under the name uncultured bacterium. RNAcentral describes it as "partial 16S ribosomal RNA". It matches the Rfam family "Bacterial small subunit ribosomal RNA", at positions 28 to 507 of the family's 1533-position model. The record is from RNAcentral.
GACGAACGCUGGCGGCGUGCUUAACACAUGCAAGUCGAACGGAAAGGCCCUGCUUUUGUGGGGUGCUCGAGUGGCGAACGGGUGAGUAACACGUGAGUAACCUGCCCUUGACUUUGGGAUAACUUCAGGAAACUGGGGCUAAUACCGGAUAGGAGCUCCUGCUGCAUGGUGGUGGUUGGAAAGUUUCGGCGGUUGGGGAUGGACUCGCGGCUUAUCAGCUUGUUUGUGUGGUAGUGGCUUACCAAGGCUUUGACGGGUAGCCGGCCUGAGAGGGUGACCGGGCACAUUGGGACUGAGAUAGGGACCAGAAUGCAACGGGAGGCAGCAGUGGGGAAUAUUGCACAAUGGGGGGAAGCGAGAUGCAGAAAGGCCGCGUGCGGGAUGACGGCCUUCGGGUUGUAAACAGAUUUGGAAUGUGACGAAGAGUGAGUGACGGUAAUGGGUAAAGAAGCACCGGCUAACUACGUG